RNAcentral lists this ribosomal RNA (460 nucleotides) under uncultured bacterium. RNAcentral describes it as "partial 16S ribosomal RNA". It matches the Rfam family "Bacterial small subunit ribosomal RNA", at positions 338 to 795 of the family's 1533-position model. The record is from RNAcentral.
CCUACGGGUGGCAGCAGUGAGGAAUAUUGGUCAAUGGACGAGAGUCUGAACCAGCCAAGUAGCGUGAAGGAUGACUGCCCUAUGGGUUGUAAACUUCUUUUAUAAAGGAAUAAAACGAGGCACGUGUGCCUUUUUGCAUGUACUUUAUGAAUACGGAUCGGCUAACUCCGUGUCAGCAGCCGCGGUAAUACGGAGGAUCCGAGCGUUAUCCGGAGUUAUUGGGUUUACAGGGAGCGUAGAUGGGUUGUUAAGUCAGUUGUGAAAGUUUGCGGCUCAACCGUAAAAUUGCAAUUGAUACUGGCAGUCGUGAGUACAGUAGAGGUAGGCGGAAUUCGUGGUGUAGCGGUGAAAUGCUUAGAUAUCACGAAGAACCCCGAUUGCGAAGGCAGCUUACUAAACUGUGACUGACAUUGAUGCUCGAAAGUGUGGGUAUCAAACAGGAUUAGAUACCCUUGUAGUC